CCUCCUAAGUGGUGGGAUUAAAGUUGUGUACUACCACCACCUAAUCUGUAUAGCUUGAGGCUGGCUUUGCUUUUUGAAUCCUCAGGCAAGCUUUAAUAAAUCAUAAAUAAUAUACCACCACAUAACACUGUUGUCAAAAUGGAGCAUUUGUGAUGUCACAAUUCAGCCAUGUGAUAAAACAAUGGAACACUGUGGUAACACAAUGGAUCAUUUUGAUGUGAUAAUGCAGCCCUGUGAUGGCAUAAUGGAGCUUUGGAAUGUCAUAAUGCUGUGUUACAAAAUAGAUAGGUGAAGUGUUGGGGGUAUGAGAGGAGAUAAAGGGGAGGGAAUUGAGUGGAUUUAGUCAAGACACAUUGUAAAUGUAUAUGGAAUUCUCAAAUGAAAAAGAAAAGACAUAGAUAGGCUCUUCACAUAAGGCCUUUUAGUUGGAAAACUUCUAAGAAUUUCUUGAAUAUGCUAAGGGAAGACAGAAGUAAUGCCAAAUCAAAAAAGGGACCAAAAAGAAAAACAAAUAUUUUUUCAUGAAAAGCUAAUGACUGGCUUAAAACUGAAUGGCUUAGUUACUUAAAUUUAAAAUUUUUUAAAUUUAAAAUUUUCUAGUUUUUUUUUUUCUUACUGUUUGGAAUUGUAUUAUAAACCACCUGGAAAUGCUCAAGUGCUUUUUUGCCUGCUUGUAUACUGAUCCUGGGAACAUGGAAGAACUCUCAACUCCUUCUCCAGCACCACAUCUGCCUUCGUGUACGCAGACCUCUGAAUUGACUUCAUCCUUUGGGCAGCCAUUCCCACGAGGUCUGAUUUGAAUCCGUUCUAUGAAGCUUGGAUGGAUAACGCCUGAGACUAUUCCGGCACAUCUACACUUUAAGUUUGUGUAAUUGGCCUCCAGGAUACCUUGGUAACAUGCCAACAGCUCCCCUCCUAGGACCCUUCCAUUCUGUUUCUCACACAGCAGUGAGAUCAGCUUCUCCAAAUGAAGGAUUCUGCUUCAAAGGCUUCCCAUUGUUCAAGUGUGAAGACAUCCUUGUGUAGACCUUGCUGUUCUCAACUUCAUCUGCUGUAUUGGCUCUGGCUGUCCGGUUUUCAGGCAUGCUGAUUUGAAGAAUUGAAAAUCACCCUGCUGGAGGUCUGAAGUCCACAGGCAUAGUGAGAUAGGGAAACAAUGGUUGUUUCAUGGCAAGAAGACAGUUUCCUCCCCAGCCUUGCUGCACGGGAUACUUGGAGUCUCACUAACUUGCUGCAGAUCACCACUUGACUCAGUACCAAUUCCUCCAUCACAUCUUAACCCCUUAUUGCUUGGAUAUUUGCCCCAUGCCAGACCCUGUGAAGACAGAGCACUGACAAGAAAUCCAAGCCUGUUGGUUUCCUGAACUCCACCCCUAGAAGACUGAAGGAUGCUUGCCAUACUGGCAUGUGAGAAAGUGAUCUGUCUCAGUGGUACCUCUUCUUUCAGCAAUUUGUUUUACUGUCUUCUCUUUAGACAAGCUCUAAUGACAACAAGCACACUGCUCACAGUGGGUCGAUUGUUUGGCUGAUCUUAUGUUUUGGGGAAGUGUUGCUACCAAGGCCUUGCUUCAAGCUCAAAGCAUUUGGAGCAGCUGCAUUGAUUCAGAUUUCCCGGGGCAGGAGGAACCCUGAAGGAUCAUCCUGUCUCUUGGCAAGUCACUUUCCUUUGUAACCUGCUUAUCCAGUUUGGACAGCAUGAUUACUGUCAGCAUUUAAGGUAAGAAUGAGUAGCUCCUGCCUCUUGAAAGAAAUCUAGGCCAGGUCUUAUGACUUUCCUGACCACCUCUGAAAUAUCCCCAAAGACGCCAAUAUUUAUGCAGAGUAGGAAUGAGGUCUGGGCAGGAAUCUUAUAUCUUCUCUUCCUCAUGUUCUCUUCAUGGAAAUUGACACUAUUAUCUUCAGCUCUUCAUCCUGCAGGUCAAGUCAGAGCUUUUACUCAGCUUUCUUCCUGGCUGAAAAUCACCAAAGCAAUCAAGUAGCAUUGUCCAAUUGAUGAAUAAACAACUGGCAUCCAUGGAAGAAUCCAGUAGAGAAACAAUGCUCGCCCUGGACUGACAGAAAACCUGAGGAAUUGAUGAACUAGCAAGCCCAGGUGCUCAGAACAAAAUUUCAUUGAUGCUACCAGAGAUCAUGCUUGAUAGGCUACCAACGAGUGAAAGAUUUCCACAUCUGUGGGAGGAAGAUGUCUUCAGCAUUGUUUUUUAAAAUACAUGGACAUUUGGGAAAUGAGAAUGUAAAGCCUCUUCAUGUUUCCAGUCUGGAAAACUAUGUGCAAAUAGUGGACACAUUUGUCCCAUAUAUCUUCUCAGUCUGAAAUGAUAAAUAUGCAAAUACUAUUCUAUGGUAUGGCCUGAGUGCAACUCAAAGUCAUGCAGAUGCUUACAUUGUUGCAUCUACAGAUUUUAUUAGGCUGACAUACUUUGCUACUGUUUUGGCCAUUGCUUUUCUUUUAUAAAUUUGUGACUUAAAAAUCAACCCCAAUUCUAGGACAAAAAUCUUCCUAACAAGUGUUAGGCUGCCAAUUGUAAUCUCUUCAGUCAGCAAGAAACCUUCCCCUACAGAUGGAAAAUGAGUUGUAAUUGAUGAAUUUUGAGAAACUACUUCUUGUUUUUUUUUUUUUUAACUAAGUUCUAUUAUUACAGUUUUACAAAUCAGAAAAAAAACCAGACAUGAAAAUGUUAUAAUUUGCAUUAUCUUGGUGAGAUUAUGAAAAUACUCCAGAGUAUUGGAAAAACUGUUUCCUAAUAAGGAAAGCAGAUAACCAUCUUAACAUAAUGUCAACACUUUUUAUUCAUUGAGUUUAGAAGUCUGCUAAACCGAAAAAAAUAAAAGUUAAUUUGGGUAUCACAUAAUAUUUUGGACAAAGUUGUUCUUAAAUGAAAGUGUUUUGUCUUCCCAUUAGAUAGAAGUGAGCCUUUGUUUCCUGCUAAGGGAAAACAGCAUAAAACUUGUAAGAUGUGCAAUAGAAUCCUAACAAGUGGCACUGCUGUAAGUGUGACCAUAAAGCAGUUAUAGCUCUCUAUAAUCACACUGUAGUCAUAGUAAGUCACAGUGGAUUACUUAAAAGUAUUAAAUCACAAAGCACAGAAGCCCAAGUGGAAUCUAUGACUUGAAGAAGCAUGGUGUUGUGGACUUUUCCAGGGGAGAGGCAAACACAUAUCUACUCACCCCAGUUAGGGCACUAAUGACAGAUCAAAGAAACAAUUCCACUAAAUCCUAACUUCGUGAGUCAACAAGUUUAUUGAGGUUAAUUACAAGAUAAGCUAUACUACAAAAAAAGCUUUCAGGCAAAUUGACAGGUUGUAGAGUAACCUCACUCUAGCAGUCCUUAGGACUUAGCUUUCGACCCCACCUGGGGGAGGGACAUUUUUGAUUCUUGUAAAUUUCAGGACUUUUGAGACUUGUGAGUUGUUUACUUUCUGGGACCUGUAAAUUCUACUUCCAGAGUUUUAAUGAGCUUCCCUCUAAGAGAGACUGUUUCAAAUUGGGAGAUAUUUCUAUAUGACACACGAACGUUCAGACAGCUCACUGGAACCAUUGCAUAGGUUGUCUGUCAUUCCAGGAAAAGAAUAUAGAAAGAAAAAAAAAAGGAAAUGAGCAGCAGGGAAUCAUGGAAUUGGCUUGGUCUGACUGCCACAUGUCAUGAUGUUUAUAAGGUUUGAGCAAGUGGCUCCUGGGGCAUUUUUUGUGACUUUCAUUUCCUGAGAACUAGAGGCACUCCCUCAGACAGUGAAGCAUACAGCAGGCCACCUAUGUGUCUCUCUGUGUUCCUUCGAGGUCAGCAAAGCAUAUAGAACUUGGCUGAACAAUUAAGUGUUAGACAUUAAUCUUGCAUACCCUGUCUAGCUUGCAACCAACAUUAUAUCAUAGCAAUUGUCAUUAUUUUCUGCUUUGAUAAGUGUAUAAAGUGUCUUGAAAUAAACUUAUCUCAGUCUGUCUUGCUGA
Cricetulus griseus (Chinese hamster) is the source of this 3945-nucleotide non-coding RNA. NCBI's taxonomy places the organism in Eukaryota, Metazoa, Chordata, Mammalia, Rodentia, Cricetidae. The record is from RefSeq and is a predicted model, not a curated record.